GCCCGCUUGGCUUAGUGGUACAGCGUCUCACUCGUAUCUAGUGAUUGAUCCAGCAUCGGUCCAAUAAAUAUGAAAUGAGAAGAUCCUCGGUUCGAUUCCGAGAGUGGGCA
This is a non-coding RNA of Periconia macrospinosa, 110 nucleotides long. The record is from the annotation of a GenBank genome assembly. Lineage: Eukaryota; Fungi; Ascomycota; Dothideomycetes; Pleosporales; Periconiaceae.